Molecule: long non-coding RNA, 1318 nt
Filed under: Strigops habroptila (Kakapo)
Lineage: Eukaryota; Metazoa; Chordata; Aves; Psittaciformes; Psittacidae
Description: lncRNA (ENSSHBG00005016722.1)
Source: RNAcentral
AAAUUAAAUUGACGGGGUGGGGAAAAACAAAACCUAGAAAGACAAAUCAAGUGUUCAUAUUAUAGUUGUUUCACUAGCAUCCACAGUAUCGAACUUACAAUAAAAAUACAAACGUUUGUUAGAGAAGAGACACCCUCAAGCACUAAACUUCAUAAAAACUAUAAAGCUCUUACUUAUACAAUAUUGGGGAUAUUCACAGAAAGCCCAGUUUCAUCAUUAUAGCCAUGUUCACCAACGAAGGUGAAGGAGCAUAGCUAAUGGAAUCAUAGACUGAGAAAGUGCCUCGAAUUCACCCUGUCAACCCCCCAAAAGCACUUGCAGAAAAGAACAAAACAAGUGCGGGGGGGGGGGUGGUGUUCCCCCCUCUGCUAGUACGGUACCAUUAAAUGAAUCCUUUAUUGCCAUGCUUUACAAACUAGGAUUAACUGUGGCAUUACGAAGUAGUCAAGUUUCAAAGUGAGAAGUACCAGACCACAAAAUACACACUAUUAAUAUAGCAAGAGUAAUGCAUUCUACAUCCAAUUCCAAACGGCCAAUUAUGCCACUAAACAAUGAAAAAAGCAUCACCACUCCCCACCUCAGAUUUCAGCUUGCAAGACAGCAGCAGGCAGGAAACUUUCACUGCACUGCGCACGUUGCAGAAAGCAAGUAACGGGGAUAGAAACUCCCGAGCAGCACAUAAAAAACCGCACAGGCAUUUUCAGGCUCCAUCCCAGAUCUGCUCCGGCACAUUAUACACCGAGCAGAGAGUCACCUCCUCGGAAAGCCUGACGGAGAAACGCCCGACGGAACGGGCCACUCCGUCCCCGCAGCCCCCCGCACCGCUCGCCGCGGCGGAACCGCCCGCGCGGGCACGACGGACGGCUCCCAACAUGGCGGCCGCCGAACAAAAGGGCUGGGGGAGAGGGAAGGGCGCCCCCCGCAGGAGGCAGGCGCCUCCCUGCCGCAUGGAGCUGGCGGCUCCGGGCACUCCGAGCCGCCUCCCCUUCCCCCACCAGGCGCCGCCCGUUUCCCGGCCAAAGCGCCGCCAGGAGCCCGACCGGCUCUUUGUUCUCCGCGAGGGAGGUGACCGGGCUCCGCUUCUCCACCGCCGGCGGAAAACGGCGCCCGCCACUCGCGGCACCUGCUCCGGUCCGCCCGGAAAAGGAAGAGGGGGCAGCAGCCGGUAUCGACCCCCACAUCACCACCCCCGCUCAAGCAGCGCCUUCACGCUACUCGCCGCCUGAGUCUGAAAAGGAAAUAUGGGCGAGGCUGCUGCCGGCAGACACGGCUUCUCAGUAGUCUGCUUCCCCCGCAACGAGAAACACAAACGCGAGUA